GCGCCCGUAGCUCAACGGGAUAGAGUGUCGGGCUUCGAACCCGAAGGUUGGGGGUUCAAGUCCCUCCGGGCGCACCA
RNAcentral lists this transfer RNA (77 nucleotides) under Pseudomonadota bacterium. RNAcentral's name for it is "tRNA-Arg". It matches the Rfam family "tRNA". From Rfam's summary of the family: Transfer RNA (tRNA) molecules are approximately 80 nucleotides in length. Their secondary structure includes four short double-helical elements and three loops (D, anti-codon, and T loops). Lineage: Bacteria; Pseudomonadati; Pseudomonadota. RNAcentral also lists the same sequence under 2 other names. The record is from RNAcentral.